GAUGAAGAACGCAGCGAAAUGCGAUAAGUAGUGUGAAUUGCAGAAUUCAGUGAAUCAUCGAAUCUUUGAACGCACAUUGCGCCCCUUGGUAUUCCAUGGGGCAUGCAUGUUCGAGCGUCAUUUGUACCUUCAAGCUCUGCUUGGUGUUGGGUGUUUGUCUCGCCUCUGCGUGUAGACUCGCCUCAAAACAAUUGGCAGCCGGCGUAUUGAUUUCGGAGCGCAGUACAUCUCGCGCUUUGCACUCAUAACGACGACGUCCAAAAGUACAUUUUUACACUCUUGACCUCGGAUCAGGUAGGGAUACCCGCUGAACUUAAGCAUAUCAAUAAGCGGAGGA
RNAcentral lists this unclassified non-coding RNA (337 nucleotides) under soil metagenome. RNAcentral describes it as "partial contains 5.8S ribosomal RNA, internal transcribed spacer 2, and large subunit ribosomal RNA". The stretch from base 1 to 120 matches the Rfam family "5.8S ribosomal RNA", at positions 35 to 154 of the family's 154-position model. The record is from RNAcentral.